GGUUCCGUGGUCAGUGGUAGUGACACUCGACUCUGAAUCCAGUAACCUGAGUUCAAAUCUCGGUGGAACCU
This 71-nucleotide transfer RNA is filed under the name Selaginella moellendorffii. It matches the Rfam family "tRNA". Rfam says of the family: Transfer RNA (tRNA) molecules are approximately 80 nucleotides in length. Lineage: Eukaryota; Viridiplantae; Streptophyta; Lycopodiopsida; Selaginellales; Selaginellaceae. The record is from Rfam by way of RNAcentral.